This 59-nucleotide transfer RNA is filed under the name Cavia porcellus (domestic guinea pig). It matches the Rfam family "tRNA", at positions 7 to 64 of the family's 71-position model. From Rfam's summary of the family: Transfer RNA (tRNA) molecules are approximately 80 nucleotides in length. Their secondary structure includes four short double-helical elements and three loops (D, anti-codon, and T loops). Lineage: Eukaryota; Metazoa; Chordata; Mammalia; Rodentia; Caviidae. The record is from Rfam by way of RNAcentral.
AUAGCUCAGUGGUAGAGUGCUUGCUUAGCAUGCACAAGGCCCUGAGUUCCAUUCUCAGU